Molecule: long non-coding RNA, 4846 nt
Filed under: Nicotiana tabacum (common tobacco)
Lineage: Eukaryota; Viridiplantae; Streptophyta; Magnoliopsida; Solanales; Solanaceae
Description: long non-coding RNA (NTAB_LNC019114)
Source: RNAcentral
UAACUUUUUGUACAGAUAACUAAAUGACAAAUGAUUUUAAUUUUUAGAUAUUAAAAUUAAAAUACAACUUUUAUUUUUGGAUCAUCCUUAAAUUUUUUAUAGUUUGGGAGAAAUACUAUCAGGUCCUUUGGAGAAUUAUUCUAUGCUCAUAAGUAUUAAUCUCUGAAAGACUUCAACACAUAUAGAUAUUUCUUUGAGAGAACAUCCAUCAAGAGAAAGAAAAAAUGGUAUUUUUGCUGCAAAAUUUUACUCUGACCAGCCCGCUUCAAAUUAUAUUUUUCGAUUCAUUCUAAGGCCCGAUAAAGGUUCGCCAAGGAUUUAGGUAUUUAUGGUUACAAUGUAAGCUAGUGUGUUUGGAGGGUUGUAGAUAAUUUUCAUGGCGAGCUUCUGAGUCUUGGUGUGGAUUUUUGGACUGUACAAGACAUUCUUUUGUGCAUAAAAUGGCAUUUUUGUGGCUUAUUAUACGACCGCAGAUCUAUUUCGUUGACUACGAUAUCAUCACAGAAUGAGUUAGAAGCAACACAAUUUUGAUGGACAUUUCGUGGUGCAUUAUGCGAUCGCGAAUCUGACCAGAUCCAACCCAGAUUGUAAAGACCAUUUUGUGGGUUGUUCCACUGACCACGAAUUUGUUCCUUUAACCGCAGUUCCGUUGCAGAUUUGACAUCGAGGGGUUAUUUUUUUUUAAUUUCCUAAUUCGACUCUAUUUUGAGAUAAGGCCUUGGAGGGUUAUUUUAGAAGGUAUAACCUAAUAUUUUAGAGAGAGAGGGAUAAGCUCUAUCAUUUCCACACUUCAAAUUCUUGCUCAAAUUUUAGGUAUUCAUUAAGGAAAGUUCACAAGGUCUUCUACUAAAGAGGUAAGACUUUAUCCCUAGAUCGUAUGCAAUGUUCUAUCAUGAAUUUAUGCCUAAUAAUUUUUUAUGACGGGGCUUAUGGGAUGGUGAUUGAAAUCCAUAAGCCAUUAAUUUUGAAAUUGGGUGUAUGUGGAGAAUGAAGGAUGUGAUUCUUGUGGGUAGGGAGUAAACGAUUGGGCAUGGAUGUGCAAAUGAAUGUUGUUAGGUGUUUUAGGGAUAUUGCAGAUUUAUUGUUUGCUUGGAAUUGGUUUAGGGGUGGAAGAAUUUCCAUUAAAGACCCUUGUAGUCGACUAUGCAUAGUUGGUAUUUGACGAAAUGCCUAAGAGACUUAUAUCAUAAGAAUCCUUUUAGUAAUGGCUCAGUUGGACCAUUUUAAUGUAGAUUCAAGUUGCUAGGAACAGUGGAACAUUGUAGCCAUCUUAAGGAAGCUUAAUUAAGGCAUGUUGGCGAAACCCCCUCCAUAGAAUUUGAUUCCAUGAUCUCCUAUAAACUUCAAGUAUGGUUUGCCGAAGCUUAAUUUUAUUGCUAAUGCUUAUUUGAGAGUUGAUUAUAUUUUAACUUGCAUGUAAAUAUUAUUGAUCCUUCUUACUACUUCUAUGUUUCUCGCUUUUUGAGUUGGUAUUCCAUUCCAUGUGAAGGUAUUUGGCCUUACAUUCUAGUACUAUUCAAUAUGCACUAACGUCCAUUUUGCCGGUGAACUGGAUCUUUAAUGGAUGCAGGUGGUACCUUAACAGGCAGCAUGGACCCUUGAUAGCAGCAUACCCUCCACUCAGCGGAGUUGGUUAGCCCUACUCUACACCUGGGCCCAUAUGUUGUAUUGCUUUCUUUCACAUUACUUUUGAGGUAUAGUCGGGGCCUUGUCACUGAUACUUUCAUACUACUCUUCUUCUUCAUUCAGAGGCUUCGUAGUCGUGCUGUGGAAUGUGUUUUGGAAUGUGGAAAAAUAAAUAAAAAAUGUUAAUGCAAUUGUCGGAUGUUUUCACUUCAAUAUAUAAACUUGUAAUCUUUUGGUUAUUAUCACUGGAGCUUCUUUAAGUAAUGAAAAAUGAUCCUCUCAUUGAUUUCCUCAUGUCAUUUAUUCUCAAAUUACUCACGAGCAAUUUGGGUAGAAGGCGUCUGGUAGGCUUGCUUGACUGGAUAUGUUGGUUAAGCGUUGGUUCCGCUCCCAAAUGUCGGGGUGUGACAAGUUUGGUAUCAGAGCCUAAGGUUUUAAAGUGUCCUAGGAUAUCUAGGAGCCGUGUCUAGUAGAGUCCUUAUUAUCGGUGUGAAGUCGACCACACAUAUAAUUAGGAGGCUACUUGGGCAUUUAGGAAUGUCACACUUCUUUGAUAUUUGAGAUCGUGCAAUAGAGCUGAUUAUAAGACUGUCACUUUUUGAAUUGUGUGUUGUUAUAUUUUUUCAGUACAUGGUGCCUAAGAAGAAGGCGAGUAGUGGCAAAAGGACUAAUAAUACCCCAAGAGUGGCAGUUGAUACAAUACCUAAUGUUGCGAGUGAGUACCCAAGGGGUGAGGACAUUCCCUAACCACACAACCUCCUAAUUCUUCUACUCCUGCUGAGAAUGUACAGAUUCCUCCUCCUACAGAUAUUCCAGUUCCACCUCCAGCAUCAUCCUCCGGUCCUAAUGUUUAUGAUAGGGACCUUAGAGGAGCCAUCAAGUUGUAUACUCAGAUAGUGUCUUCUCAGGCCCAAAGAUUGAAUGACACGUCUACUUCCUCUAGCCACCAAGGAGAUACAACUAGUUCUAGGGUGAACAUAUUUCUUCAGUUGAAUCCUAUGGUGUUUACGGGAAGUAAGCCCGAGGAGGACCCAUAGGAAUUUAUUAAUGACAUACACUAGACUCUCCGUGUUAUGCGUGCCAUCUCACAUCCCAAACUCGGGGAGCGCGUCCGGCGCUCAACCGAGUGAAUUCGUCCGAGCAAGCCCGUCAGAUGCUUUCUAUCCAAGAUAUUAACCAAACAAAUGACUCUUAGUAAUUGUUGAUUAGGUGGCUAUCUAAAGUAAGUUCCAUAAGGCACUUACAUAUGAUAUAUCUAUAGACGCUUAUGCACUUUGUCGUGUGAUUAAGAGGAGUUUAAAUGGUCCAAAAACUGGUGACGUCCAUUAUGCAAGUGAUAGAUCCUCUAGCAUUGAAAUUUAUUCUGAGGGAAGAUGUGAUCAUCAUGAUAUGGAAAUUAGAUCUCAUGAGUAUGGAAUGCCAUCAUCAUCAUCAUCAUCCAUGGCAGUCCAUGGCUCUCCAAUGAAUGUUACAACUCCUAUUCCUACUGAUGAUAAGUAGAAUAUGCAAUAUUUAUCAAAUGAAGCUUUAAGUUUCAACAACAGUCAGUUCGUUCCAAAUUAUGGAACUUUGCCAUAUCCCCCAUUUAAGGUUAAUAUAGCAUUACCGUGUGCAAGGUUGCAGCAUAGGUUCACAUUACCUCCAUUGGAGAUUCAAGGCUUCCCUCAAGUUGGUUAUGCUGAUACCAAGAUGCCUCAAUCAAGUUUUACUCAAUCUACAAAUCAAACGGAUUUUUUCCUACUCCAGGUAUGUUAAGGCUAUCCCUUCUUUCUUUUGGCAUGAUCCAUGUGACACAAACAAAACGUGCAAAUGCAAAAUUUUCAUACAUGACUCUAUUCAUAGAAAUAUUAGAGAUGCUUAUGUUCUUGAUUCCCCAUGUGUCAUAUUAUUCUAUCAUCUGUUCGUGGGUCUCAAAAUACGUAGGUUGGAUUUAACUAUUCUUCCCCUUUCAUAAACGGAAAUAUAAAAGUGGGGAUUAUGUAUUGGUACUUAUCACACUCCACACGUUCUGGAGUGUGAAUAAUCUUUUGGCUGCUAAAAUGCUGAGUUCAUUUUCUAGUUCGUCGUUGUAUCUGGAGAAUAUGUUCCAGACGUACAAAAUCUUUCUAGCUUUUGUAAUUCAGCUAUAUCAUUCUCCUUUUCUAUGGAAGUUGGAGAACCGCAUCAUGUAUUUGGUAGUUCGAAACAAAAUGGUUUAAAGGAUUUUAUUUCUUUUUGGAUAGGUCAUGUCUUUUUAAUAGAAUAAUCCUUAUAUAUUGAAUUUUACAAGAGGGUAUCUACUUACUGGAAAUUUUCCACCUAAGAAUACACUGAAUAAUUAUCUGAUCUAUAUGACACAACGAAACGAGCAAGCACGCAAGUUUUAGAAAUGAUUCUAAUCUUAGAAGUACUAAGAUUGCCUAUGUUCCUAAUUCCCCAUAUGUCCUACUACUAUAUUAUCUAUACAUGGGUCUCAUAACAUUCCAAGAGAUCAUAUUGACUUACUUCAUUAUACAUUGCAUUCAUUUAUACAUGUCCAUUUACCCAUGACUCAGACAUUACAGCAUUAUAUACGCAUCACCACCUGAUCAGCUGGUAUACGUUGAUGAUUUUGCCCACAGUGGCUGAGAUGAUAUGAUGGAAUGCCCUCAGAGGCUUGAUGAUAUUAUGUACGUACAGACCUAUGCGUUACAUGAUAUAUACACGAAUAUGCAUGACCUUAUAAAUAUUUCAUGAUUUAAAGAGCUAUCCAGAUUUACAGAUUGAGUCCUUUACUCGAUGUUUCUUCCAUGUCCUUUAUAUACUGAUUUACAUGCCUUACAUACUCAGUAAAUUUUUCAUACUGACAUCCUUUUGUUGGGGACGUUGCAUUCAUACCUGCAGGUAUAGACAAUAAGUUCGACAAGCCCUCAUAGUAGAUGAGGUCAGCAUUCAGCGAAGGAUCGGUAAGACUCCACCUCAUUCGGAGUGCAGUCGAGUCUAUAAGUCAUCGUGUCAGAGUUUUUCUACAUACUUAUGGGUAGGCCGGUACCUUAUCCCAUUUUAUAUCAAAUAAUCUUAGAGGCUUUGUAGACACAAGUUUAUUAUGUACAGUAUGUCAGAGGCCUUGACGGCCCAUAUGUAUUCAUGUUUUAUGAACGAUGGUUCAUUGAUAUAACAUUUGCCCACUUACAAUUGUACAUUACGAGUUGUGUCCAUGUUGGCCCGUGAUAGUUAUAAAAGGAAUAGAUGAGUUACAGAG